CUCUACUUAAGCAGUCUUCAGAGCAGUGACAAGCAUUGUCAUCAUUCCUGGUUUCUCCACAGCGGUCUUUGGUACAUUCCCAGCCUCGAGCUGUCUUUAAGCACAGCUCAUCAAAGUCGAAGCAGCAGCUGUUGUAGCUCUUGCACAGGUUGUCACAGCGGCAGCCAGGAGGCUCUGCCUCUUGAAGUUCAAAGCAUCUGUUUUUGCAGGAGCCAGAGGUACUGAUCCAGGGGGAAUCUG
Molecule: long non-coding RNA, 240 nt
Filed under: Gallus gallus (chicken)
Lineage: Eukaryota; Metazoa; Chordata; Aves; Galliformes; Phasianidae
Source: RNAcentral